Vigna unguiculata (cowpea) is the source of this 1308-nucleotide unclassified non-coding RNA. Lineage: Eukaryota; Viridiplantae; Streptophyta; Magnoliopsida; Fabales; Fabaceae. The record is from RefSeq and is a predicted model, not a curated record.
AAUUAUACUAUAUUUGUCAUGGGUUUAGAAGGGACGGUAUCAUCUCAUAUGUAUUAUGAAUGCUAUUUUCACUGUGAGUAGUGAACAAAAUGUGAAUGAAGGUGGAGCAGAUGCAUCUUACCAUUUCUUUCUAAAGUUUUUUUGCCGUCACAGAGUUUCUCGGAGGUCAUGUUCACUUCUCCUUCGCACUCCUCCGCAACAUCUGUUAUUUUCCUUUAAAGAAAUGUUUCUUCUCGUCGAAAGCCAUUUGCGCUUCGUUGGAAGCCAUCUUCGGUUCUCCUCCGCAUUCUUUGUCACCAUCUUCUCUUCUUCUUCAAAGCAUUUUCUCUACUCUUGGAAAACCAUCAUCUCUUCGCGGAAGUUGUUUUCCCGUAAUUUACUCCAAAAGACAAAUGCUACAAAUGCAUCAGGAAAUGUUGUACUUGGAGAUAUUUGAGUAUAUAUUCAACAAAAGUAAAUUUUGAAACAAAUAUGAAGAAAUUGUCUUGAUAAACUCUCUGUGGAGAAUGGAUUGGAAGGAAUUGUCUUGGAAAUUAAAGGGAUAUUUAGAGAUCCUGCCAUAGUAACCAAGAUAAAGGAGUUCAAGCUCUGCCUUCUUUAUUACGCCAAAUUAAACAAUGUUCCUAAGCCAAUUUACAUGUAACGUCUAAUGGUGGAGUAAUUGUUGAUUUGGUUAAAGAAAUAAUCGAAGUCGUUGCAGAUAUGAUAAAGCCAAAAGAAGGUGGUGAAGGGGAGGGUUGGGCAGAGGGGAGUGGGACGGUACUCACACAUGACAGAGUAUUGUUGUAACUCUGUCAAAUAUAGACCCAUGGAGAAGGGAGAAGUUUGUGUGGCAAGUUCUCUUGUAUUUGUUCAAGAAGGGAUCUAUGAUGAAUUUGAGGAAAAAAAAUAGUGGAAAAGGCAAAAACUUGGGUCGUUGGAGAACCUCUUGAUCCUAGAGUCCAACAUUACCUCAUGUAAGAAAAAUAGGCAACAUCAUAGGCAGAUCAAUAUUUUGGUAUUGGCCACCAAUUAAAAUUGCUUGCAUAGUUUCUAAGGAUAGCUGUAGUGUCAAAAUCACACAAGAGAGGAGGAGUUUGUGUGAUUGAGAUGAAGAUAGAAUGUAUCUGUCUAAUAAGUUCUCAUUAUGUUCUUGUGUUGUACCAUUUGGCAAGAGGAUAAGAGAAAAUGGUUUCAUAUGCUUUUCGGGAAGACAAUGUUGGUGGGUUUAGAACUCAUUUAAUUUCUCAUUCUCAUAUAUGUUUAAUACAUAUUUAGGACUCAUUUGACGUAUGAGUUAGUUUUGGAAUUGAAGCACUCAAACUUUCU